AGAGUUUGAUCCUGGCUCAGGACGAACGCUGGCGGCACGCUUAACACAUGCAAGUCGAACGAGAGAAGAGGAGCUUGCUUUUCUGAUCUAGUGGCGGACGGGUGAGUAACACGUGAGCAAUCUGCCUUUCAGAGGGGGAUACCGAUUGGAAACGAUCGUUAAUACCGCAUAACAUAAUUGAACCGCAUGAUUUGAUUAUCAAAGAUUUAUCGCUGAAAGAUGAGCUCGCGUCUGAUUAGCUAGUUGGUAAGGUAACGGCUUACCAAGGCGACGAUCAGUAGCCGGACUGAGAGGUUGAUCGGCCACAUUGGGACUGAGACACGGCCCAGACUCCUACGGGAGGCAGCAGUGGGGAAUAUUGCACAAUGGAGGAAACUCUGAUGCAGCGAUGCCGCGUGAGGGAAGAAGGUUUUAGGAUUGUAAACCUCUGUCUUCAGGGACGAAAAAAGACGGUACCUGAGGAGGAAGCUCCGGCUAACUACGUGCCAGCAGCCGCGGUAUACGUAGGGAGCGAGCGUUGUCCGGAAUUACUGGGUGUAAAGGGAGCGUAGGCGGGAUCGCAAGUCAGAUGUGAAAACUAUGGGCUUAACCCAUAAACUGCAUUUGAAACUGUGGUUCUUGAGUGAAGUAGAGGUAAGCGGAAUUCCUAGUGUAGCGGUGAAAUGCGUAGAUAUUAGGAGGAACAUCAGUGGCGAAGGCGGCUUACUGUGCUUUAACUGACGCUGAGGCUCGAAAGCGUGGGGAGCAAACAGGAUUAGAUACCCUGGUAGUCCACGCCGUAAACGAUGAUUACUAGGUGUGGGGGGACUGACCCCUUCCGUGCCGCAGCAAACGCAAUAAGUAAUCCACCUGGGGAGUACGACCGCAAGGUUGAAACUCAAAGGAAUUGACGGGGGCCCGCACAAGCAGUGGAGUAUGUGGAUUAAUUCGAAGCAACGCGAAGAACCUUACCAGGUCUUGACAUCGUAUGCAUAGCUCAGAGAUGAGUGAAAUCUCUUCGGAGACAUAUAGACAGGUGGUGCAUGGUUGUCGUCAGCUCGUGUCGUGAGAUGUUGGGUUAAGUCCCGCAACGAGCGCAACCCUUACUGUUAGUUGCUACGCAAGAGCACUCUAGCAGGACUGCCGUUGACAAAACGGAGGAAGGUGGGGAUGACGUCAGAUCAUCAUGCCCCUUAUGACCUGGGCCUCACACGUACUACAAUGGCUGUCAACAGAGGGAAGCAAAGCCGCGAGGUGGAGCGAACCCCUAAAAGCAGUCUUAGUUCGGAUUGUAGGCUGCAACCCGCCUACAUGAAGUCGGAAUUGCUAGUAAUCGCAGAUCAGCAUGCUGCGGUGAAUACGUUCCCGGGCCUUGUACACACCGCCCGUCACGCCAUGGGAGUCGGUAACACCCGAAGCCUGUAGUCUAACCGCAAGGAGGACGCAGUCGAAGGUGGGAUUGAUGACUGGGGUGAAGUCG
Molecule: ribosomal RNA, 1459 nt
Filed under: metagenome
Description: bacterial SSU rRNA
Rfam family: Bacterial small subunit ribosomal RNA
Source: RNAcentral